GGAUUGUGGCUCAGUGGUAAAGUAUUCGCCUUGUAUGUGCAAGGUGCUGGGUUUGAUCCUCAGCACCA
Molecule: transfer RNA, 68 nt
Filed under: Marmota monax (woodchuck)
Lineage: Eukaryota; Metazoa; Chordata; Mammalia; Rodentia; Sciuridae
Description: tRNA.Thr
Source: RNAcentral